This 714-nucleotide ribosomal RNA is filed under the name Meloidogyne sp. DHR-2019. Its description in RNAcentral is "partial large subunit ribosomal RNA". It matches the Rfam family "Eukaryotic large subunit ribosomal RNA", at positions 367 to 942 of the family's 3401-position model. Lineage: Eukaryota; Metazoa; Nematoda; Chromadorea; Rhabditida; Meloidogynidae. The record is from RNAcentral.
CAAAGCACUUUGAAGAGAGAGUUAAAGAGGACGUGAAACCGGUAAGGUGGAAACGGAUAGAGUCGGCGUAUCAUUCAAUUAUUCAGUUACAUUAUUUUUAUGUUGUGACCUCUGAGCUCCAGAUUGGGACAGAGGGAAUCAGCAUAAUUUUUUGUGGUGCAUUUACUUGAUUGGUGCUUGGGGAUGUUUGAGGCAGAUUUGUUUCCGUCGUUUUGAGGCCAGCUUGCUGGUACCCAAACGGUGUUAGCAUUUUUUGUCUUGGGCAUUUGAGUAUGGCUCACGUGUAUUUAUUGGACAGAUCUGAGUGUAAGUUACGGUCGCAUGCGACACGUGCUUUUCAAUUAGUUCGGUCCAGUUAAUGCUCUCGUACUCGUUCCCCAUGUAAAAGCCGGUCAUCUAUCCGACCCGUCUUGAAACACGGACCAAGGAGUUUAUCGUGUGCGCAAGUUUUUGGGUGUUAAAAACUUAAAAGCGAAAUGAAAGUAAAUGACUCUUUAGAGUCUGAUGUGCGAUCUUGUAAAAAAGUGUAGCAUGGCCCCAUUCUAACUGUUUACAGUAGGGUGGCGGAAGAGCGUACGCGGUGAGACCCGAAAGAUGGUGAACUAUUCCUGAGCAGGACGAAGCCAGAGGAAACUCUGGUGGAAGUCCGAAGCGGUUCUGACGUGCAAAUCGAUCGUCUGACUUGGGUAUAGGGGCGAAAGACUAAUCGAACCA